RNAcentral lists this ribosomal RNA (491 nucleotides) under uncultured bacterium. RNAcentral describes it as "partial 16S ribosomal RNA". It matches the Rfam family "Bacterial small subunit ribosomal RNA", at positions 29 to 507 of the family's 1533-position model. The record is from RNAcentral.
GUGAACGCUGGCGGUAGGCCUAACACAUGCAAGUCGAACGGCAGCACCGUAAGAGCUUGCUCUUACGGGUGGCGAGUGGCGGACGGGUGAGGAAUACAUCGGAAUCUACUUUUUCGUGGGGGGUAACGUAGGGAAACUUACGCUAAUACCGCAUACGACCUACGGGUGAAAGCAGGGGAUCUUCGGACCUUGCGCGAUUGAAUGAGCCGAUGUCGGAUUAGCUAGUUGGCGGGGUAAAGGCCCACCAAGGCGACGAUCCGUAGCUGGUCUGAGAGGAUGAUCAGCCACACUGGAACUGAGACACGGUCCAGACUCCUACGGGAGGCAGCAGUGGGGAAUAUUGGACAAUGGGCGCAAGCCUGAUCCAGCCAUACCGCGUGGGUGAAGAAGGCCUUCGGGUUGUAAAGCCCUUUUGUUGGGAAAGAAAAGCAGCAGGUUAAUACCCCGCUGUUCUGACGGUACCCAAAGAAUAAGCACCGGCUAACUUCGUG